Molecule: ribosomal RNA, 821 nt
Filed under: uncultured eukaryote
Lineage: Eukaryota
Description: SSU rRNA
Rfam family: Eukaryotic small subunit ribosomal RNA
Source: RNAcentral
CGGUGUUUAACUGGCGUGAUGUGGGACGUCCUACCGGUGGGCUUAGCCUCGCGAGGGGCGGCCCAACUAAUAUCCCGUCGCGGUGCUCUUUACUGAGUGUCGAGUCGGGCCGGUACGUUUACUUUGAACAAAUCAGAGUGCUUAAAGCAGGCUAUCCUCGCCUGAAUACUGCGUGCAUGGAAUAAUGGAAUAGGACCUCGGUUCUAUUUUGUUGGUUUUCGGAACCCCGAGGUAAUGAUUAAUAGGGACAGAUGGGGGCAUUCGUAUUGCGACGUUAGAGGUGAAAUUCUUGGAUCGUCGCAAGACGGACAGAAGCGAAAGCAUUUGCCAAAAAUGUUUUCAUUAAUCAAGAACGAAAGUUAGAGGUUCGAAGGCGAUCAGAUACCGCCCUAGUUCUAACCAUAAACGAUGCCAGCUAGCGAUCCGCCGAAGUUCCUCCGAUGACUCGGCGGGCAGCUUCCGGGAAACCAAAGCUUUUGGGUUCCGGGGGAAGUAUGGUUGCAAAGCUGAAACUUAAAGGAAUUGACGGAAGGGCACCACCAGGAGUGGAGCCUGCGGCUUAAUUUGACUCAACACGGGAAACCUCACCAGGCCCAGACACCGGAAGGAUUGACAGAUUGAUAGCUCUUUCUUGAUUCGGUGGGUGGUGGUGCAUGGGCCGUUCUUAGUUGGUGGAGCGAUUUGUCUGGUUAAUUCCGAUAACGAACGAGACUCUAGCCUGCUAAAUAGGCGUACCUUAUGGUAUCGCGAAGGCCCCCGGCUUCGGCCGGUGGGUUUUUACUACCAACGUACAAACAAAUCUUCUUAGAGGGCACAGGCGG